RNAcentral lists this ribosomal RNA (253 nucleotides) under uncultured bacterium. RNAcentral's name for it is "partial 16S ribosomal RNA". It matches the Rfam family "Bacterial small subunit ribosomal RNA", at positions 524 to 776 of the family's 1533-position model. The record is from RNAcentral.
UACGGGAGUGGCAAGCGUUGUCCGGAUUUACUAGGCGUAAAGGGCAAGUAGGCGGAUUUGUAAGUUUCAUGUUAAAGGCACUGGCUCAACCAGUGUAAGGCAUGAGAUACUGCAAAUCUAGAGUAAGUGAGAUGUAGCUGGAAUUUCUGGUGUAGCGGUGGAAUGCUCAGAUAUCAGAAAGAACACCAAUGGCGAAGGCAGGCUACAGGUGCAUUACUGACGCUAAAUUGCGAAGGUGCGGGUAUCGAACAGG